CAGCCACGGGACCAGCACUAACCUACCAGGCACUGAGCCACAGGUGACAUCACAACCACAAACUGCACCCACAGGACUUGCACUGGCCUAUCAGGCACUGAGCCACAAGUGACAUCACAAACACAAACUGCACCCACAGGACCAGCACUGGCCUAUCAGGCACUCAGCCACAAGUGACAUCACAACCACAAACUGCAGCCACAGGAACAGCACUGGCCUAUCAGGCACUGAGCCACAAGUG
This 241-nucleotide long non-coding RNA is filed under the name Apteryx haastii (Great spotted kiwi). RNAcentral's name for it is "lncRNA (ENSAHAG00000008178.1)". The record is from RNAcentral. Lineage: Eukaryota; Metazoa; Chordata; Aves; Apterygiformes; Apterygidae.